AAAAGAUUUAGUAAGCCAUAGCUUUUAGGUGUACUUGAGGCAAUGAGUAUCUGAGAAAAAAAAAACAAAACUUCUUGCUGAAGUUCCAGCUUGACAGAAGUCAAAUGAAGUCAAAUGGCGCUGCCCUCACCUUCCCACACUGCUGGGGUGCUCCAUCCUGGACACUUCUUGCCUAGCGCAUGAAGCAGCCCACCCCACCCAGCACUUCACUGCAGGCGGUGUCCAACACUGAAGGAAUUUCACACCAUCGUGUCAGUGAAUGCACUUCAUCAUCUGUCCAAGAAGAGGAGAGCAAGGCUGAGCAAGGUCAGGAAAUCAAACCAUGUAAGAAAAGUCCUUGCAACUCUGCAGAGACACGGAUGAAACUGGACCGAUAA
This 377-nucleotide long non-coding RNA is filed under the name Anser brachyrhynchus (Pink-footed goose). RNAcentral's name for it is "lncRNA (ENSABRG00000016691.1)". The record is from RNAcentral. Lineage: Eukaryota; Metazoa; Chordata; Aves; Anseriformes; Anatidae.